GCGUGGAGACAGGUGGUGCAUGGCUGUCGUCAGCUCGUGUCGUGAGAUGUUGGGUUAAGUCCCGCAACGAGCGCAACCCUCACCCCUAGUUGCCACCGGGUAAAGCCGAGCACUCGAGGGGAACUGCCAGCGUCAAGCUGGAGGAAGGCGGGGAUGACGUCAAGUCAUCAUGCCCCUCACGUCCUGGGCUACACACGUGCUACAAUGGCUAGUACAGAGGGAUGCGAGACCGCGAGGUGGAGCUAAUCCCAAAAAGCUGGUCUAAGUUCAGAUUGCAGUCUGCAACUCGACUGCAUGAAGUAGGAAUCGCUAGUAAUCGCGCAUCAGCACGGCGCGGUGAAUACGUUCCCGGGCCUUGUACACACCGCCCGUCACACCACGAAAGCUGGCUGUACUCGAAGUCGCUGAG
RNAcentral lists this ribosomal RNA (409 nucleotides) under uncultured Methylomirabilota bacterium. RNAcentral describes it as "bacterial SSU rRNA". It matches the Rfam family "Bacterial small subunit ribosomal RNA", at positions 1026 to 1434 of the family's 1533-position model. The record is from RNAcentral. Lineage: Bacteria; Methylomirabilota (SeqCode).